CCUACGGGUGGCUGCAGUAAGGAAUAUUGGUCAAUGGAGGCAACUCUGAACCAGCCAUGCCGCGUGAAGGAAGAAGGCGCUAUGCGUUGUAAACUUCUUUUGGGUGGGAAGAAAAUGGUCAAUUUAUUGACAACUGACGGUACCAUCAGAAUAAGCACCGGCUAACUCCGUGCCAGCAGCCGCGGUAAUACGGAGGGUGCAAGCGUUAUCCGGAAUCACUGGGUUUAAGGGGUCCGUAGAUGGCUGCUUAGAAAUGUCUGGGCUUAACCGAGGCAUUGCGGUUGAUACUGUAGGGCUUGAAUCAAGUUGAGGUAGCUAGAAUGUGACAUGUAGCGGUGAAAUGCAUAGAUAUGUCAUAGAAUACCAAUUGCGAAGGCAGGUUGCUAGACUUUGAUUGACACUGAGGCACGAAAGCGUGGGGAUCAAACAGGAUUAGAUACCCUUGUAGUC
This 450-nucleotide ribosomal RNA is filed under the name uncultured bacterium. RNAcentral's name for it is "partial 16S ribosomal RNA". It matches the Rfam family "Bacterial small subunit ribosomal RNA", at positions 338 to 795 of the family's 1533-position model. The record is from RNAcentral.